This is an RNA transcript of Nannospalax galili (Upper Galilee mountains blind mole rat), 3398 nucleotides long. It is a transcript of the gene named HLF transcription factor, PAR bZIP family member, with no coding region annotated. The record is from RefSeq and is a predicted model, not a curated record. NCBI's taxonomy places the organism in Eukaryota, Metazoa, Chordata, Mammalia, Rodentia, Spalacidae. The transcript has 5 exons.
UGGGGCGGGACGGCGCCGCCUCGGGUGCUCGCCGGGAGCCGGCCGCGCGGUGCCUGCUGCUCCUCCGCAGAGCGCUGCCUUCUACCUUUUUUUCCUUCCUCUUUGCAAUUUUGAACAUUUUGCAGGAGGCAGGUGAGAGCAUCCUGCACGCCGAGGAGCCCGCGGCGCCGCGUGCGCUCUCCUGCGACCGUCCGCGCUGAAAACCCCAAAGUUUCCUUAUUUUAAUAUUUUAUGCAGAUGCAUCGAUAGAGAUAGAAGUCAUCCUUUUUUUCCCCCCCUUGUUUCCAACGCUUUGCGAGCGAGUACUUUUGGUUUGGCAAAGGACAGAGGAAAAAGCUCAACAUUUCGGGGCGGCGAUUGGCCUUCUUUUUAGAAAAGAAAACAAAAUUGGGUGCAUCGCGAUGGAGAAAAUGUCCCGACAGCUUCCCCUGAACCCCACCUUUAUCCCGCCUCCCUACGGCGUGCUCAGGUCCCUGCUGGAGAACCCGCUGAAGCUGCCCCUUCAUCCCGAAGACGCAUUUAGUAAAGAUAAAGACAAGGAAAAGAAGCUGGAUGAUGAGAGUAACAGCCCGACGGUCCCCCAGUCGGCCUUUUUGGGACCCACCUUAUGGGACAAAACCCUUCCCUAUGACGGAGACACUUUCCAGUUGGAAUACAUGGACCUGGAGGAAUUUCUGUCAGAAAAUGGCAUUCCCCCCAGCCCGUCCCAGCACGACCAUAGCCCUCACCCUCCCGGGUUGCAGCCCGCUUCCUCCACUGCCCCCUCGGUCAUGGACCUCAGCAGCCGGGCCUCUGCACCGCUCCACACUGGCAUCCCAUCUCCAAACUGUAUGCAGAGCCCCAUCAGACCAGGCCAACUCUUGCCAGCAAAUCGCAAUACACCGAGUCCCAUUGAUCCUGACACCAUCCAGGUCCCAGUUGGGUAUGAACCAGACCCGGCAGACCUUGCCCUCUCCAGCAUCCCAGGGCAGGAAAUGUUUGACCCUCGCAAACGCAAGUUCUCCGAGGAGGAACUGAAGCCACAGCCCAUGAUUAAGAAAGCUCGCAAAGUCUUCAUCCCUGAUGAUCUGAAGCAGGAUGACAAGUACUGGGCACGACGCAGAAAGAACAACAUGGCGGCCAAGCGCUCCCGUGAUGCCCGGAGGCUGAAGGAGAACCAGAUUGCCAUCCGGGCCUCGUUCCUGGAGAAGGAGAACUCGGCCCUCCGCCAGGAGGUGGCUGACUUGAGGAAGGAGCUGGGCAAGUGCAAGAACAUACUUGCCAAGUACGAGGCCAGGCAUGGGCCCCUGUAGGAUGGCAUUUUUGUGGGCUGGCUUUUGAAUAGAUGGACAGCUUGUUUCCUGUCUGGUAGCACCACACCCAAACCAACCUUUCUGACAUCAGCACUUUACCAGAGGCAUAAACACAACUGAUUCAUAUUUUGAUGUGCAUCCGUGUGUGUGUGUGUGUGUGUGUGUGUGUGUGUGUGUGUGCGUGCGAGUGUACACGUGCUUAUGGUCCCAUGUGCAGCAGGGGUGUGCAUGUGUGCCGAGCGUGUUUGCACUUUCCAUUUUAAGAUAGUCCUCUCAUUGUCUUUUAGUUUCAAACAAGAACGGUGCCAUGUUUUUACUAGACUUUGGAGACCUCUGUGGGGUUUCCUCUCCUCCCUUCUCCACUCCUGUCCUUCCCUUGCUUCUUGUUCCAGAAAACCUACUCUUCGGGGUCUGCGGUUUCGCAAAGGGGGACCCUGGAAACACAACGGGUCUCAGUUUUCAAGAGCAGGAGCUCUUGUUUCUGUUUCAACUAUGAGUUACCAUGCUAAACAGGUGCACCACAUCCCUUAGCACUGCACCUGAAUUCCUACAUAGGUGGUUCUUCUCGAGAGUUUUUGUUUUUGUUUUUGUUUUAUUUUUUCCAAUUUUGGUGAUAACUGUCUUUAAAUUUCAAGUGCUGUUUAGAUUUGUUAGAUCCCAUAUUUACUUACUGCUAUCUACUAAGUUUCCUUUUAAUUCUACCAACCCCAGAUAAGUAAGUACUAUUAUAGAACACAGAGUGUGUUUUGCACUGUCUGUACCUACAGCAAUAAUCCUAUUGUACCCUAGAGCAUGCUGCCUGAGUACUACUAGUGGACGUAGGAUAUUUUCCCUACCUAGGAAUUUCACUGUCUUUUACAAAACAAAAUUAAAGUAAUGCAUUUGCGCAUGACCAGAGUAUUCUCAGGACAGGGAAGCUGAGGGCUAUGGGAGGUCUAAGAAGGUGGGGUUAAUUUAUCAGUUUGUGAGCCAAAACAAUGCAUCUUGGAGAAGCCUGUGCCUGGAUGUGCUUGGUUUUCUUGUAACCCUUCUCCUACACCCCGCACCCACUUUUCCAUUUCCCUCUCGAUAUUCAAAAUAAUUGAAUUACUUAAGAUUCAGUUUUCCCACUCUUUUUGUAACAUAUAUUUUUUUGUGAAUUAUCCUUUGCUGUUUUUAGAUUAAGUUAAAAGUUGAUGUUUUGGAAGGUCCUUUUCCCUUGUGGUGUCAUUUUUGAAUGCCUCAUAAAUUAAUGAUUCUGGAGCCUGUGUUUCUUAUCCUCUGUUUGCUUUUGAAGACUGUACUCUUAUCAAGUGGACUUCUGAAAAAAAUGAAUGUAAAAGACACUGGUGUAUCUCAGAAGGGGACGGUGUUGUCACAAACUGUGGUUUAUCCAAUCAAUUUAAAUGUUUACUAUAGACCAAAAGGAGAGAUUAUUAAAUUGUUUAAUGUUUAUACAGAGUAAUUAUAGGAAGUUCUUUUUUGUACAGUAUUUUUCAGAUAUAAAUACUGACAAUGUAUUUUGGAAGACAUAUAUUAUAUAUAGAAAAGAGAAAAGGAGAACUAUUCCAUGUUUUAAAAUUAUAUAGCAAAGAUAUAUAUUCACCAAUGCUGUACAGAAAAGUGCUUGGGGGGGUGAAGUCUUUAAUAUUUUAAAUCUAUUACUGACACAUCAGCAUGUUUUCUGCUUAAAAUUAAAAUUUUAUGACAAUACGGAGGCUGGCUGUGGCGAAUCCUCUCCAACGCAUUCUUGUUUCUUAUUAGGUCUCAGAAGGGAGUCAGUUAACGUCACCCAGAAGCACAAAAUGGAUUUUAGUCAAAUAUUUAUUGGAUGGUUCAGUGUUUUUUAGGAAAAGCAUCUGCCACAUAAAUGUUCACUUCAAAAUUCUGAGUUCCUGGAACAAAGUGUUGGGGAGAGAGCCCCAAACGGCUUCAUUAUGUUUGGGCCCUGUUUGUCUUACACAGUGUAAGGUUGACCUCGGUGCUACGUGUAUGACUUAUAAUUUGAUGGAUAUUUUGACUUUAAAGAUGAUUGUUCUUUUCUUUCACUGAGUUGUAUAAUGUCAAAAGAUUCUGCUGUUUCUGCAAAGACAUAUUUUGUGCUAGAUUAAAAUCCCCUUUCAUCCA